GGGAUCAUUACAGAGUUGCAAAACUCCCUAAACCAUUGUGAACGUUACCUUCAAACCGUUGCUUCGGCGGGCGGCCCGGGUCCGCCCGGUGCCCCCUGGCCCCCUAGCGGGGCGCCCGCCGGAGGAAACCCAACUCUUGAUUAUUAUGGCCUCUCUGAGUCUUCUGUACUGAAUAAGUCAAAACUUUCAACAACGGAUCUCUUGGUUCUGGCAUCGAUGAAGAACGCAGCGAAAUGCGAUAAGUAAUGUGAAUUGCAGAAUUCAGUGAAUCAUCGAAUCUUUGAACGCACAUUGCGCCCGCCAGUAUUCUGGCGGGCAUGCCUGUUCGAGCGUCAUUUCAACCAUCAAGCCCCAGGCUUGUGUUGGGGACCUGCGGCUGCCGCAGGCCCUGAAAACCAGUGGCGGGCUCGCUGUCACACCGGGCGUAGUAGAUUUUAUCUCGCUCAGGGCGUGCUGCGGGUUCCGGCCGUUAAAAAGCCUUUUUUACCCAAGGUUGACCUCGGAUCAGGUAGGAAUACCCGCUGAACUUAAGCAUAUCAAUAAGCGGAGGAAAAGAAACCAACAGGGAUUGCCCCAGUAACGGCGAGUGAAGCGGCAACAGCUCAAAUUUGAAAUCUGGCUUCGGCCCGAGUUGUAAUUUGCAGAGGAAGCUUUAGGCGCGGCACCAUCUGAGUCCCCUGGAACGGGGCGCCACAGAGGGCGAGAGCCCCGUAUAGAUGGACGCCUAGCCUGUGUAAAGCUCCUUCGACGAGUCGAGUAGUUUGGGAAUGCUGCUCAAAAUGGGAGGUAAAUUUCUUCUAAAGCUAAAUACCGGCCAGAGACCGAUAGCGCACAAGUAGAGUGAUCGAAAGAUGAAAAGCACUUUGAAAAGAGGGUUAAAUAGCACGUGAAAUUGUUGAAAGGGAAGCGCUUGUGACCAGACUUGCGCCGGGCGGAUCAUCCGGUGUUCUCACCGGUGCACUCCGCCCGGCUCAGGCCAGCAUCGGUUCUCGUGGGGGGAUAAAGGCACCGGGAACGUAGCUCCUCCGGGAGUGUUAUAGCCCGGGGCGUAAUGCCCUCGCGGGGACCGAGGACCGCGCAUCUGCAAGGAUGCUGGCGUAAUGGUCAUCAGCGACC
This 1116-nucleotide ribosomal RNA is filed under the name uncultured Chaetomiaceae. RNAcentral describes it as "eukaryotic LSU rRNA". The stretch from base 495 to 1116 matches the Rfam family "Eukaryotic large subunit ribosomal RNA", at positions 1 to 649 of the family's 3401-position model. Lineage: Eukaryota; Fungi; Ascomycota; Sordariomycetes; Sordariales. The record is from RNAcentral.